GUGCUUGCUUCGGCAGCACAUAUACUAAAAUUGGAACAAUACAGAGAAGAUUAGAAUGGGCCCCUAAAAUAAAAGAUAACAGCAACAACAAGGACCCACACAAAGGCUGG
Non-coding RNA from Myodes glareolus (Bank vole), 110 nucleotides. The record is from RefSeq and is a predicted model, not a curated record. Lineage: Eukaryota; Metazoa; Chordata; Mammalia; Rodentia; Cricetidae.